Molecule: ribosomal RNA, 270 nt
Filed under: uncultured bacterium
Lineage: Bacteria
Description: partial 16S ribosomal RNA
Rfam family: Bacterial small subunit ribosomal RNA
Source: RNAcentral
UACGUAUGGGGCGAGCGUUGUUCGGAAUUAUUGGGCGUAAAGAGAACGUAGGUGGCUUGUUAAGUUCGGUCUUAAAGACCGGGGCUCAACCCCGGGAUGGAUUGAAGACUGGCAGGCUAGAGGAUGUCAGAGGAUGGUGGAAUUCCCAGUGUAGCGGUGAAAUGCGUAGAUAUUGGGAGGAACACCGGUGGCGAAGGCGGCUGCCUGGACCGAUACUGACGCUGAGACGCGAAAGCGUGGGGAGCAAACAGGAUUAGAAACCCUGGUAGU